CGCGAGUUAGUUUGGCACCUAAACGGCGAAACUGCGAAUGGCUCAUUAAAUCAGUUAUCGUAUAUUUGAUAGUACCUACUACAUGGAUAACCGUGGUAAUUCUAGAGCUAAUACAUGCUUAAAAUCCCGACUUCGGAAGGGAUGUAUUUAUUAGAUUAAAAACCAAUGCCCUUCGGGGCUCACUGGUGAUUCAUAAUAACUUCUCGAAUCGCAUGGCCUUGUGCCGGCGAUGGUUCAUUCAAAUUUCUGCCCUAUCAACUUUCGACGGCUGGGUCUUGGCCAGCCGUGGUUACAACGGGUAACGGAGGGUUAGGGCUUGACCCCGGAGAAGGAGCCUGAGAAACGGCUACUACAUCCAAGGAAGGCAGCAGGCGCGCAAAUUACCCAAUCCCGACUCGGGGAGGUAGUGACAAUAAAUACUGAUACAGGGCUCUUUUGGGUCUUGUAAUUGGAAUGAGUACAAUUUAAAUCCCUUAACGAGGAACAAUUGGAGGGCAAGUCUGGUGCCAGCAGCCGCGGUAAUUCCAGCUCCAAUAGCGUAUAUUAAAGUUGUUGCAGUUAAAAAGCUCGUAGUUGAACCUUGGGCCUGGCUGGCCGGUCUGCCUCACCGCAUGCACUGGUCCGGCCGGGCCUUUCCCUCUGGGGAGCCGCAUGCCCUUCACUGGGUGGUGUCGGGGAACCAGGACUUUUACUGUGAAAAAAUUAGAGUGUUCAAAGCAGGCAUAUGCUCGAAUACAUUAGCAUGGAAUAAUAGAAUAGGAACGUCGCGGUUCUAUUUUUGUUGGUUUCUAGGACCGCCGUAAUGAUUAAUAGGGACAGUCGGGGGCAUCAGUAUUCAAUCGUCAGAGGUGAAAUUCUUGGAUCGAUUGAAGACUAACUACUGCGAAAGCAUUUGCCAAGGAUGGUUUCAUUAUUCAGGAACGAAAGUUAGGGGAUCGAAAACAAACAGAUACCCGU
This 957-nucleotide ribosomal RNA is filed under the name Diaporthe amygdali. Its description in RNAcentral is "SSU rRNA". It matches the Rfam family "Eukaryotic small subunit ribosomal RNA", at positions 58 to 1018 of the family's 1831-position model. Lineage: Eukaryota; Fungi; Ascomycota; Sordariomycetes; Diaporthales; Diaporthaceae. The record is from RNAcentral.